This 730-nucleotide ribosomal RNA is filed under the name Micrococcaceae bacterium W205. RNAcentral describes it as "bacterial SSU rRNA". It matches the Rfam family "Bacterial small subunit ribosomal RNA", at positions 139 to 882 of the family's 1533-position model. Lineage: Bacteria; Bacillati; Actinomycetota; Actinomycetes; Micrococcales; Micrococcaceae. The record is from RNAcentral.
UGGGAUAAGCCUGGGAAACUGGGUCUAAUACCGGAUAGGAGCGUCCACCGCAUGGUGGGUGUUGGAAAGAUUUAUCGGUUUUGGAUGGACUCGCGGCCUAUCAGCUUGUUGGUGAGGUAAUGGCUCACCAAGGCGACGACGGGUAGCCGGCCUGAGAGGGUGACCGGCCACACUGGGACUGAGACACGGCCCAGACUCCUACGGGAGGCAGCAGUGGGGAAUAUUGCACAAUGGGCGAAAGCCUGAUGCAGCGACGCCGCGUGAGGGAUGACGGCUUCGGGUUGUAAACCUCUUUCAGUAGGGAAGAAGCGAAAGUGACGGUACCUGCAGAAGAAGCACCGGCUAACUACGUGCCAGCAGCCGCGGUAAUACGUAGGGUGCGAGCGUUAUCCGGAAUUAUUGGGCGUAAAGAGCUCGUAGGCGGUUUGUCGCGUCUGUCGUGAAAGUCCGGGGCUUAACCCCGGAUCUGCGGUGGGUACGGGCAGACUAGAGUGCAGUAGGGGAGACUGGAAUUCCUGGUGUAGCGGUGGAAUGCGCAGAUAUCAGGAGGAACACCGAUGGCGAAGGCAGGUCUCUGGGCUGUAACUGACGCUGAGGAGCGAAAGCAUGGGGAGCGAACAGGAUUAGAUACCCUGGUAGUCCAUGCCGUAAACGUUGGGCACUAGGUGUGGGGACCAUUCCACGGUUUCCGCGCCGCAGCUAACGCAUUAAGUGCCCCGCCUGGGGAGUA